RNAcentral lists this ribosomal RNA (704 nucleotides) under Acinetobacter johnsonii. RNAcentral's name for it is "bacterial SSU rRNA". It matches the Rfam family "Bacterial small subunit ribosomal RNA", at positions 56 to 754 of the family's 1533-position model. Lineage: Bacteria; Pseudomonadati; Pseudomonadota; Gammaproteobacteria; Moraxellales; Moraxellaceae. The record is from RNAcentral.
UGCAGUCGAGCGGGGAAGGGUAGCUUGCGUACCUGACCUAGCGGCGGACGGGUGAGUAAUGCUUAGGAAUCUGCCUAUUAGUGGGGGACAACAUUCCGAAAGGAAUGCUAAUACCGCAUACGCCCUACGGGGGAAAGCAGGGGAUCUUCGGACCUUGCGCUAAUAGAUGAGCCUAAGUCAGAUUAGCUAGUUGGUGGGGUAAAGGCCUACCAAGGCGACGAUCUGUAGCGGGUCUGAGAGGAUGAUCCGCCACACUGGGACUGAGACACGGCCCAGACUCCUACGGGAGGCAGCAGUGGGGAAUAUUGGACAAUGGGCGAAAGCCUGAUCCAGCCAUGCCGCGUGUGUGAAGAAGGCCUUUUGGUUGUAAAGCACUUUAAGCGAGGAGGAGGCUACUUGGAUUAAUACUCUAGGAUAGUGGACGUUACUCGCAGAAUAAGCACCGGCUAACUCUGUGCCAGCAGCCGCGGUAAUACAGAGGGUGCGAGCGUUAAUCGGAUUUACUGGGCGUAAAGCGUGCGUAGGCGGCUUCUUAAGUCGGAUGUGAAAUCCCUGAGCUUAACUUAGGAAUUGCAUUCGAUACUGGGAAGCUAGAGUAUGGGAGAGGAUGGUAGAAUUCCAGGUGUAGCGGUGAAAUGCGUAGAGAUCUGGAGGAAUACCGAUGGCGAAGGCAGCCAUCUGGCCUAAUACUGACGCUGAGGUAC